RNAcentral lists this long non-coding RNA (319 nucleotides) under Nicotiana benthamiana. RNAcentral describes it as "long non-coding RNA (NBEN_LNC010369)". Lineage: Eukaryota; Viridiplantae; Streptophyta; Magnoliopsida; Solanales; Solanaceae. The record is from RNAcentral.
CCAGGUCUAGAUGCUGCCUUUGUUGGCCCUAAUGAGAAUCACUAUGCAAUUCUAGAUGAGGAUAAGACUGGGUUGUCCUUGUAUAUUUUGCCUGAGCUGCUCUACAAGUGUCAAAAGAAAAGAAUGGCGCCAUUGAUCAAAACCAGCCUACUGACACUGAUGUUGGUACCUGUCCUUGUAUAUUUUGCCUGGAGGUGCUCUACAAGUUGCAAAAGAAAAGAAUGGUGCCAUUGAUCAAAACCAGUCUACUGACACUGAUGUUGGAACUACUAAGGGUCCAAUGCAGUUUAUGUUCGAAACUGAAGUUCAUCGCAUCUUC